CUGAUUUUUGCACUUAUAGUUUUGCUGUUUUUCUCUUCUCGUGAUAAGACAGACCACAUUAUAAAAACAUUAUACAGCUUUUUUUUUUUGUUUUUUUUACUCAUUCCUUUGAAACUACUUCUAAGGAACUAGAAAAAAAAUGAGAACUACACACUUGUGUCUCCCUGUUUUCAUGGAUUUGGAUUUCUAAAUAAUCGAGUAGUUUAGCCCUGUUCCAUUAAUUUACAUGUUAGUCCGUUUAUUUGAUACCCAUAAAUUGUUAGAUGGUAUGAAGGUAGAAAUUAUUCCAGCAGUUUGUGACUUCCUCAUAGGCAUAAUCUUAUAUUUUCUGGUGAAGUCUGUACAACUAUGUAGCAUGGGUACUUCUUCUGGGUUACGUACUCGUACCCGCACCCGUACCCGAUACGAUACGUAUCCUGUAUGGGUACGCGUACCCUUUCCAAAAAUUUCAAAAUCUUGCCGUUUUCUGUCCCAGUACCCGAAUCCGCACCCGUAUCCGUACCCGUCUAUGUGCAACCUAGCUGUACAAAGAGAUGGAGUGUAUAACCUUUCAAAAGCAAGAUAUUGAAUAUAUGAAGGAGAGAGCAGAAGCUAAUGUAGAUAUUAAAUAUGUUUUCAACAAGAUAGAUAUUUGCUAUGCAUCGAAAACCUCCAUUUAAGGGGCCACGAUGACAAGAAGCUAAUACAUGGUAGUUGUGUUGAAAAGCUCAAAAUUUAAUGCUUGAUUACUAGUGAGAUUUUGGAUUGUUAGAGGAAUGGCUUUAAGUAUGUUCUUAGGUUUUCGAUGUGUAUGUUGUGAGGUGCCUCAUGUCCUUUUUUUUUUUUUAACUUUGGUAAUUUGCUACAACUGACAUGAACUUCACACCUUGUAGCAUGUACUACAAAUUGUGAAUGUUCCUCCUAAUUAAAGAUUUUACUCAAGAUGCUUAUGUGAAUGUAGUUUUCAAAUAUUAUAUGUUAUUGCUGUAUGCUUACAUGCAAUAUUGACAACUUUCUUCAUGGGGGACAAUCCCAAUUUCACUUUGUAAGUUUUAAGCGAUGAUAACAAGUAUCAAAAUUUAAUUAUAUCACAACUAAUUACAGAGUAUGAAAUACCAUUAUUAAUUUAAGAACCUAAUUCCAUUUUGUAAUGAACAAACCCGCCAAAUUACUUUCGUAACCCAUAACAUAAUUUAAGAGAAGAACCAUUUAUUGCUUUUAAUAGAUAAUUUAAAUGAGAACGGACUAGAAAUAAUAAUUCUAUCUAUAUAAUAAUAUUUAGAGUCCUAGAGUUCGAAAAGUCUCUCUCUAGGGUUCAUUAGGGCUCUCUAGGGUUUGAGUGGUAAGUUUUGGGUUUUUCCAUCAAGAUUUCUCGAUCCUUCGGGUGGUGAUUUUCUUUAUGGGGUUGAUUGUCAGCUCUCAUGGCUGAUGAUAUAGCAAAUAACUGAAGAAGAAGAUGCGACUGUUAAUUUUGAUAGCAUUGAAACCUCGAAAAAUAAUCUCAAUCUUGAACUGGCGCUUUAUAGGCAAGGUGUUAACAAUUAGAAAUUUCAAUUUCGAGGCGCUAAAGAAAACAUUGAACCAAAUUUGGGCGAUAGUUGUUUCGUCCAAUAGAAAAUGGGUUGUUAGUGGUGCGGUUUACGUGCCGCCGCGAUAAAGAAAAGGUCUUGCAUGGGAGACCAUGGACGUUCGAUCAAAACUUAGUUAUGAUGCAAGAAAUUGAUGAUUCCAUGCAACCUUCAAAUAUCAAACUUGAUCGCUUCCCUUUCUGGGCCAGAUUAUACAACCUACCAAUGGGGUGUUGAUCGGAGGGCCAUAUUCGAAGAGUGGGAGGAUGUUUAAGUGAUGUUAUGGAGGUGGAUACGUCGGCCCGCGUUUGCAUUUUUAUGGAUGUCAAGAAACCAUUGAGAAGAGUGCAACGGGUGUCUGUUAAGCAAGGGGUCUCGGCCCUUAUUGAAUAUAAGUACGAAAGAUUACCCACCUUCUGCUAUGGGUGUGGUUUGAUCGGCCAUAUCGAACGGGAUUGCCCGAUGCGUCAAGUUGAGGAUGAUAUGGUGGAGGAGCUUGGCUUCAGGCUUCACCAAGAAAAGGGAGGCUUAGGUUGGAGGAGGAGACUCGAAGUUUCUUGAAGCAUGCACGUUAUCACCGAUCAUCUGGUGCGUCAAACCGAGACCGAGGUGGCUCCGUCAAACAACAUGGUGUAGCAGCAAGUGGAAGUGGCCGAGUUCGUUGUGGAGCAUGGAGGAGGGUUACGAGAGGAGGGAUCCCGAAACUGUUUUUCAAGAAACAGUACCAACCCAUGUUACAGGUGAUUUACCUCUUUCUAACUUUUCCUUUACUGCAUCUAAGGAUAAGGGGGUUGAUAAAUGCAAAUCAAUGAAGGUGAAAAUUCAUUAAACAAAGGUGACUUAUGUAGACUAGCCACUUGGAUACAAUAAAUCGGUUCAUGAGGGGAAUAGUGGAGAGAAAAGCAAGUGGCCUGACCCAAUAUGAUUGUAAAUGAGGGCAUUUGUGAUGAUGCGGAAAAGAAGUGUUUUAAAUGUGCAGGCGAUGUUGAUGUUGGCAGUGUGUCUCAAACUGUCGAGGCGGAGGUUGGUGGUGACCAACCCCGCCGGGCAUUAUGAAUAUUUUAUGUUGGAACUGUCGGGGGAUGGGUAACCCCUCGACAGUUCGUCAACUCAGAAGAUGGAAUUCUUCCGUUACCCCCGACAUCCUGUUUGUGUCAGAGACAAUGAUAAAAAAAGAGAUAGCAGAACAAGCGAAGGAUCGUAUUGAUUUUUUCAAAUGCGUUUGGUGUGUCGAGUAUGGGUCGUUCUGGAGGGUUGUGUAUUUACUGGAAAAAUGAUACUAUAGAUUUCUCGUUGGAGUCUUUUUCCCAUAAUCAUAUUUGUGGCGACGUGGUUAGUAGAGGAGGAGUGAGAUGGAGGUUUUGUGGAAUUUAUGGUUGGUCGGAGGAGUCGAAUAAGUACCUAACAUGGGAGCUUAUAAGGCGUUUAUGUGCUGAAUGUGAUGGUCCAAUAGUUUUUGGAGGGGGUUUUAAUGAGAUACUGCCGUAUGGGGAGAAAGAAGGUGGUGCAGAGAGAGAUCGAAGGGCAAUGAGGGAUUUCCGAGAGGUUGUUGAUGACUGUGAUUUGCAUGAUUUACGUUUUGUUGGUCAAUGGUAUACAUGGGAGAGGUGAUAGGCCGGAGACGAAGAUUAGAGAGAGACUGGAUCAUUUUCUCAUUUCUCAAACAUGGGUGCAGAGCAUCUUGUUAGAUACAAAUCGGAUCAUGCAGCGAUUGUGCUUAAGAGUGAGGUGCCUAGCUCCUCUAGGCAUCGAGAGAGAUGUUUUAAAUUUGAGACAUGAUGGCUUUUGGAGGAAAGUUGUGAAGAUAUUGUUCACUUGGGAGGGUUCGAUUGGCGAGACUAUACUGGGGCGGUUGGUGGUUGUUGCUCGCACCUUAGUUGGGUGGAAUAAGGAAGGGGAUCGUAGUUUGGCAAAAAGAGUCGAUAAGGUCGAGAAAGAGCUUCAUAAUGCUCAAAAGGAGGGGAUUUCAGAUAGGAAACCCAACAAAUGUGGGGAGCUUGAAGGAGAGCUUGAUAGUUUGAAUGUGAAAUUAGAAGCACAUUGGUAUAUGAGAUCGAGGGUGGCGGAAAUAAAAGAUGGGGACCGCAACACAACAUAUUUCCAUCAUAAGGCAUCGCAGAGGAAGAAACAAAAUAGAAUUCAGGGCCUUUAUGAUCCCCACGGCACAUGACAAAUUGAAGAGGAGGAAACUGAGACUCAGGUCGGGAAUUAUUUUCGAAACAUUUUCUCGUCGACCGAGCCUUCAGGUGAUAAUAUGGAUGAAGUGCUACAUGUUAAAUAUUCGGUUAUUGUUGAUUACAAUGCAAUACUAUUGAAAUCGUACUCAAAAGACGAGAUUUAUGCUGCAGCCAGAUGCACCCAUGCAAUAUUUUAUCAGCAAUUUUGGCAUAUAAUUAGAGACGAGGUAUUUAAGUUUGUUAGUAAUAUGUUGCAUAAUUAUUCCUCCUCGGAGUAUAUUAAGUUACUAAUAUUGCUCUCAUUCCUAAAGUUAAGUCUCCUACUCUUGUCUCUGAGUUUCGACCUAUCAGUUUAUGUAAUGUGUUGUAUAAAAUUGCCUCUAAAACUCUUGUGCUUAGAUUGAAAUAAUUCCUCCCUGAAAUUGUGACAGAAAAGUAGAGUGCUUUUAUCCCUGGAAGAAUAAUUAGUGAUAGCUCUGGAGAUAUUUCACUCCAUGAAGAAAAGGAAUAAUAGCAAGAAAGGCUUGAUAGCAAUGAAGCUGGAUAUGAGCAAGGCAUAUGAUAAAGUAGAAUGGGGUUUCCUCAUGAAGCUUUUAUUGACAAUGGGCUUUGAUGGGUGUGGGGUGAAUUUGGUGAUGAGUUGCAUGUCAUCAGUUUCCUACUCUUAUUAUUAAUGGAAGAGUUUGUGGGGCUGUCACUCCCUCACGAGGUUUGAGAUGACAGUUUGUUGUUUACUAGAGCCACCUGUCAGGAAUGCUUGAAAAUAGUUGAUAUUCUCAACAAGUAUGAAGCAGCAUCCGGCCAGAAAAUUAACUAUGAGAAGUUGGAGGUGUCUUUUAGUAAAGGAGUAAGCUGUUGCAAACGGAGAGAAAGCUUGAGUGGUAUUCUUCAGAUGAGGCAGGUUGACAAACACCAAAAGUACCUAGGUAUUCCAACUACUAGUGGGCGAUCGAAGAAGCUAGUGUUUAGAGACCUCUUAGAUAGGAUAUGGAAUGAGAGGGUGGAAGGAAAAAAUGUUGUCUCGUGCUGGGAAGGAGGUGUUGAUUAAAGCUUUAAUCUAAGCCUUGCCUACAUAUCUCAUGGGUGUGUACAAGAUUCCUGCGACAAUUGUCCAGGCUAUUCAUUCUGUGAUGGCUUGAUUUUGGUGGGGUAGGAAGGGUCAGGAAAGAAAGAUGCAUUGGCUUAGUUGGGAAAAAAUGUACAAGCCAAAGUGUAUGGGAUGUAUGGGAUUUAAAAUUCUAUCAGUUUUCAAUGAUGCUCUCCUGGGUAGGCAAGUUUGGCGCCUGUUGCAUGCAAAAAGUUCUCUAUUGGGUCGUGCGUUGAGGGCAAAAUAUUACCCUGAUGGUGAUGUGACGAAUGCUCGGUUAGGUUAUUCUAACAACUUUUCAUGGAGAAGUAUCUGGAGUGCGAAAAGCCUAGUGAAGGAGGGGAUUAUUUGGAGGGUGGGAGAUGGACGGGACAUAAAUAUUUGGAGUGAGCCCUGGAUCGGCGAUGAGAACGGAAAAUUCAUUGAAAAGAGGGUUUGAGUGCAGUACAUGAGUUGAUUGAUGAAGAGACGAACGAAUGGAAGGUUGAUUGUUUUGAGAGGAAUUUUGGGGAACAAGAUAAAAAAUGUGUCCUGUCGAUUCCAUUAAGCUCAAGAGGAGUGAAGGAUGAAUUGACUUGGGCUCUGACGAAAGAUGGCCUCUACUCGGUAAAGACGGCGUAUAUGUUAGGUAAAGGUGGAAAUUUAGACGACUUCCAUCGAGCUUGGGUUGUUUUGUAGGGGUAUUGAUGUCUCGCCUAAGGUGAGGCACUUUCUAUGGAGACACUGCACGAUGUUGCUGCCAACGAGAGAUAUGCUUAGAGCUCGUCACGUGAUUGACAACGGCUGCUGCCCAUGGUGUCCUAAUAGCUGGAAACGCAGCACCAUGCCCUUUUUGGGUGCCCGAGAAUCAGUGGGCAGUGGGUGGAGCAUGGUUGUGGAGCAACGGUAAGUGAAGAUGGCGAGGAGGGGGGAUGUGAGAUGGUGGAGAGAUGGUCAAAGCUCAAGAAGAUGGUUCAGCGUGGAUGUUAUUUGGCAUGGAAUAUUUGGGCUGAAAGGAACCGUUUUGUUUUUGACAAUACAAGCCAGCCAUUAGCGGUUGUUAGCCAACGAGUGUGUCGCCAGGUAGGGGAACACAAUGAGUACAAUAUCUGGAUUUAUGGCUAAGCAUAGCGGCGAUAGCUCGGGAUUCAUUGAGUGUUAGAAGGCAGCGAGCAUGGUGGCCCCCGGAUGUAGCGGAAUGUAAGCCUAUAUUGCACGCUACUCGCCUUGCCAGGUCUCAUGGUCUAUAUGACAUUAUAGUUGAGUCCGAUGCCCUCGUAGUUAUUUCUAGACUGUCAAAAGGUUCUCUAUUUUUUUCAGAUUUAGAUUCAGUUUUAGGAGAUGUCAUUUUGUUUGAGUAGGAACUUUAAUUCCAUUAGUUUCAAGCAUGUCAAGAGAGAUGGGAAUGCUUUUACCCAUAAUCUUGCUAGAGUUGUGCCAUUUGGUGUGGAGCCUGGGAGAACCAUUGUCCAAGGGAAGUCGCUCCUUAUGUAUUGAUGGACAUUUUGUCCCUUGAUUAAUGCACAUCUCUUUUCCCCUAAAAAAAAAGAAGAUAAUUUAAAUGAACAAAUCAUUUCUUAGACAAAGAACCUGGAAAA
Molecule: long non-coding RNA, 6388 nt
Organism: Beta vulgaris subsp. vulgaris (sugar beet)
Lineage: Eukaryota; Viridiplantae; Streptophyta; Magnoliopsida; Caryophyllales; Amaranthaceae
Exons: 2
Source: RefSeq, a predicted model, not a curated record